AAGGUUUUAAGUUAACAAAACUGUUAGCCUUCAAAGUUAAAAAUAAAUUCAUAUUUAAACCUUA
RNAcentral lists this transfer RNA (64 nucleotides) under Kaestneriella sp. KaspPE. Its description in RNAcentral is "tRNA-Trp". The record is from RNAcentral. Lineage: Eukaryota; Metazoa; Arthropoda; Insecta; Psocodea; Peripsocidae.